CCUACGGGUGGCUGCAGUGGGGAAUAUUGGACAAUGGGGGGAACCCUGAUCCAGCCAUGCCGCGUGUGUGAAGAAGGCCCUCGGGUUGUAAAGCACUUUCAGUGAGGAAGAACGCCUGGUGGUUAAUACCCAUCAGGAAAGACAUCACUCACAGAAGAAGCACCGGCUAACUCCGUGCCAGCAGCCGCGGUAAUACGGAGGGUGCGAGCGUUAAUCGGAAUUACUGGGCGUAAAGCGCGCGUAGGUGGCUUGAUAAGCCGGUUGUGAAAGCCCCGGGCUCAACCUGGGAACGGCAUCCGGAACUGUCAAGCUAGAGUGCAGGAGAGGAAGGUAGAAUUCCCGGUGUAGCGGUGAAAUGCGUAGAGAUAGGGAGGAAUACCAGUGGCGAAGGCGGCCUUCUGGACUGACACUGACACUGAGGUGCGAAAGCGUGGGUAGCAAACAGGAUUAGAUACCCUGGUAGUC
RNAcentral lists this ribosomal RNA (465 nucleotides) under Vreelandella stevensii. RNAcentral's name for it is "partial 16S ribosomal RNA". It matches the Rfam family "Bacterial small subunit ribosomal RNA", at positions 338 to 795 of the family's 1533-position model. The record is from RNAcentral. Lineage: Bacteria; Pseudomonadati; Pseudomonadota; Gammaproteobacteria; Oceanospirillales; Halomonadaceae.